RNAcentral lists this long non-coding RNA (284 nucleotides) under Elaeis guineensis (African oil palm). RNAcentral's name for it is "long non-coding RNA (EGUI_LNC017313)". Lineage: Eukaryota; Viridiplantae; Streptophyta; Magnoliopsida; Arecales; Arecaceae. The record is from RNAcentral.
UGGUGGGUUGAAGCCAUAUGAUUUUACCUUUAAACCUCAAUAAAUAAGUGUUGUCUCAUCCAUAAUGAGUGACAUUUAGAUCAUAUUAUAACUAGGGUCGACCUAACAAGACAUGAGACACAUCCAUAGAAAGGAUGUCACACUAGAUUUUAUCCAAGUAAUCAUUUAUUUGUAGGAGAACUAAACAUCAUUUAGAAACUAGAGAAGAAGUUUGGUCAACCCAUGCCGCUCUGAAUGGCUGGAGGUGUGGUUCAAGCUGCAGCUUCAGCUUUUCAAGAGCUAAC